GUGGGGAAUAUUGGACAAUGGGGGGAACCCUGAUCCAGCCAUGCCGCGUGUGUGAAGAAGGCCUUUUGGUUGUAAAGCACUUUAAGCGAGGAGGAGGCUACCGAGAUUAAUACUCUUGGAUAGUGGACGUUACUCGCAGAAUAAGCACCGGCUAACUCUGUGCCAGCAGCCGCGGUAAUACAGAGGGUGCAAGCGUUAAUCGGAUUUACUGGGCGUAAAGCGCGCGUAGGUGGCCAAUUAAGUCAAAUGUGAAAUCCCCGAGCUUAACUUGGGAAUUGCAUUCGAUACUGGUUGGCUAGAGUAUGGGAGAGGAUGGUAGAAUUCCAGGUGUAGCGGUGAAAUGCGUAGAGAUCUGGAGGAAUACCGAUGGCGAAGUCAGUCCCCUGGGCCUGUACUGACGCUCAUGCACGAAAGCGUGGGGAGCAAACAGGAUUAGAUACCCUUGUAGUCC
RNAcentral lists this ribosomal RNA (451 nucleotides) under uncultured bacterium. RNAcentral describes it as "partial 16S ribosomal RNA". It matches the Rfam family "Bacterial small subunit ribosomal RNA", at positions 354 to 796 of the family's 1533-position model. The record is from RNAcentral.